Molecule: long non-coding RNA, 839 nt
Organism: Tigriopus californicus
Lineage: Eukaryota; Metazoa; Arthropoda; Copepoda; Harpacticoida; Harpacticidae
Exons: 3
Source: RefSeq, a predicted model, not a curated record
ACACCCAGUCUUUGACAAUGAGGUCCUGCAUCUUUUUUGUCCUCUUGACUGUUGACUUUUGUCAUGGCAAGAGUCGGUCCAAAGUAAUUGUGAAAGGGACCACUAUGGGGCCAAACUUUACUCGCCGUGAAGGGGAGAUCAGUUUGCCUUGUCCAGAGGAGCACCCUUGGUCCUUUUUCAAUGGAACUAGGUGCUGCUCAAGCUACUACAAACCUGAACAGAACUCGCUCCAGUUUGAAGAUUCGGAAUGCUCUUCGAGUUGGAUUAAAUGCCCUGCAAUACUGCCCCGAAAAUGCGUCUCCUUGGUCCAACCAGUUACUUGUCCUGAAACUCAUCCAUUUGAUCUGGGAGUCGGAUGUUGUGCCACAGAACGAGUUCCUUUCGAUCUAGAUUUUGAUGAGCGAUGUUUUGGACAAGAGGUUGUGCCAUUCGUGACCCCAAUAAAAUGCUGCUUUCAGUUUUUGUCAAUACCGACAUGCAGUUCAAUGCGGCAAAGGUGCAAGACCAAUUGUAAGCUAUAUAACAUAUCUUGCACUUGUUACAUGAUGCACUUUAAAACAAACUCAAAUGUAAAAAUCUAGUAAAUAACACAAAUGCACAUGUGCGAAUCACUCUUAAAUGGAAAACGUAGAGAUCAAGUUCGAAGGUUUGGCACCAGGCUGAACUAGGGAGGAGAUGUCCCAACAAAUCGCAGAGAACUGCAGAUCCAUAAAACAAUACAAAAAGGGUACUAGAAAUGUCUCUCCAGUGUCUGGAAGUCAUUCCCCCAGCUUUGUGCGGCCACUUCACUGGCCUUGGCUAAGACCAGGCCAGGGGAGCUUCUUAGAAAUUGUGAUAUC